UUCAAAUUCAUUCAAGCCUUCCUUAUAAAACCAGCAUUUCUGGCAUUGUGUUGCAGAUAAUCAUUAUUUUUAAAAAGGAUUCAUCAUGCUGCUUAUGUGAAAAAUUCACAGUAGGCAGACAGUAUUUAAUAAGUAAAUCAAUAAUGCUCAUUUCAGGGAAAAAUCAGGUAUAGAAUAUAGCUGGAGAAGAUAAUAAAACAAGAUCAAAUACUAAAUCUCAGAACUGAUGAACCAUUAGGGAUAAUACAAUUCACUUCAGUGCCGGCUGCAGCAUUAUUAGAAAGCCUACAUCAUAAAAUGCUGUGUAAAUGUAAAUUCGACCUAAUUUGUCAUAUGAUUAAAACGCAGGGAAAAAGAAGUCUCUUUGUAAAAGCGAAUGCAACAUUUCCGACUGUAGUGAAGCAUCGUUGGGAAGAGAACUCCCUUGGCUCGUGGAGCUUUGCUCAGGUGAUGGUUAGUCAUGGCCUUCCUGGAUUGUGGAACCAAAUGAGAAGAGCUGUCGUAUCCAUGAAAAAGAACUUGACUCCAUCUCAACUUACAUCCUUCAAAAUUGUCUGAAAUUUCCUCUUUAUCGCACAUGCUCGCAAAGGUGGUUAGUUGUGGCAAUCAUGCUUUCUGGAUCCAAAGUUAAGAUGCUGGUCUGACCAGAGCAGGAUUUUCAUGCUUGUUUUGUGAUAAAAGAAAUAAUAUGGAAGAAAAAUAUUAAGUACAUUAAAUACAGGGUAAUUAGUGGCUGGAAAGGGGUAAUAGAGCACAUAGUUUGAAAUCAAAGCUGUUUUGGAAUAUAAGGCAUAUAUAGAACAUAUAUUUUAUAUGAACAUAGGAGACACCCACAGAUACCUUGUAUGAACUUGAACAUCGAAUAUAUGUGCACUCUGCCUCUGGGGCAAUUAACCACGUCCUAUCCUAGCUACUCUGGUAAUUUCCAUUGUCACACAUUCUGCACCUCCAGGGGAAUCUGAAUGGGAUAUACUUAAAUGCAAGAACAUGAUAAAGAAAUCUGAAUCAUGUGUCUGCUUUGCGGGCGAUACCCAGCUUUUACAUGCCAGUGGAAAUUAUCAUUUCCCCUGGUUUAAGUCAGUGGCUCUUAACCUGGAGAACUUAGAAGGCUACUGCUGCCUAAUUUUCAGCUGGGGAUUAUGGGGUUGUGUCUGCCUCGCUGGCAAUUUUUGAAGCUUCCAAGGUAGUUUUUAUGUGUAGACGAAGUCCAGAGUUGCUCUUCUGUGUGGAAUAAAGAUACAGUUCUGUUUCUUGAAAACACGCAGUAUUCUCUUCACAAACACUGCCCCAUAAAAGCCUAACAAAAAGAGAAGAAACGAUAGUGUUGACUUAGCUGAGGUUCCUUACA
RNAcentral lists this long non-coding RNA (1348 nucleotides) under Callithrix jacchus (white-tufted-ear marmoset). RNAcentral's name for it is "lncRNA (ENSCJAG00000069628.1)". Lineage: Eukaryota; Metazoa; Chordata; Mammalia; Primates; Cebidae. The record is from RNAcentral.